This 114-nucleotide non-coding RNA is filed under the name Mucochytrium quahogii. The record is from RNAcentral. Lineage: Eukaryota; Bigyra; Thraustochytrida; Thraustochytriidae.
AUCCAAAAGGAAUCUACGCUCCAUUUGGUACUUCGUCUUCGUGGUGGAGUUAUUGAACCAACGCUUGCUGCUUUGGCAAAAACCUUCAACUGUGAAAAGAAAGUGUGCCGUAAA